This is a long non-coding RNA of Pararge aegeria (speckled wood butterfly), 2432 nucleotides long. RefSeq lists it as uncharacterized. The record is from RefSeq and is a predicted model, not a curated record. Lineage: Eukaryota; Metazoa; Arthropoda; Insecta; Lepidoptera; Nymphalidae. The transcript is spliced from 2 exons.
GUUUGUUUACAUUAUAAGACAAUAAGAAAAAAUGGAGUAUAGAGUAAAUUCGACGGCAUAAUAAAAAUUAUAAAAUAGUUAGCCAUAUGCAGAAACGUCAUUAUGUUGUACUAGUGGUCCCUCGCGACUUCGCCCGCCUAUAUGUCGCGGACUUUUUUAUAGAACUUUUAAAGGAGAACAUCUUUGUCAUACAUGAACCAAUAAAAAAAAUCUCGAAAGAAAAGAAAAACCCGAUUUUGAAACAUUCUUCAUUGGUGCUACGCUCCUAUUGGUUUAAGCGUGAUGAUAGCCUAUAGUCUCCCUCCUGAGAGAUUUUUUCAAAUCGGACCAGUAGUUUCUGAGAUCAUCGCGUUCCAGUAAAAAAACAAAUUUUCUAUUUCAAGUAUGCGACAUGAAUAUGAUUUAUAUGUGUAUGACUUUUAAUCUCUAAUACGAUAGUUUUUUUUUUAAAUAGUAAUAUUUAUUAUAUAUCGAUUUAUUGCAUAAGUGUACUUUUUACACUUGUUAUUUCUACUUUACUGCAAGAAAAUGCAACAUGUAAGGUAUAAUUUGUCCACAAUUAUAAUUAUUAUUGUUGAUUGCACGACGAUUUCACCAAAGUUAACGAAAUUAUAAUGGGGCCCUAAAUGUAUUCAUAAAAUACAUCCAUGUACCCAAUUGUGACGUUUGUGCAUAGGCAAGUGAAUAAAUGCAAAGUAACGUUUAUCGUCCAAAAUGUAUCGAAGUUAUAUGUGUGCGUUGUGACUGUAUGCAAUGCUGUAUGCAAUUAUGGAAAGACUGCGCGAGGCUCUAGGGAUAAUAUAACAAUAUAUUUAAUUGAAUAAUUAUAUUAUGAAUAGAAGAAUAAAGUUAUAUUUACGCGUAGUUCUAAUAGAUGUCGACAUAGGACAUUUUAAUUGGCGUAGGGGCAGAAGUAACUUCUAUGCCAUAGAAAAUUAUAGUCCUGCAAACCUAUUUUUCAUACAGGAUUGCUGGUUAUAUCGGAGUUUUUGCUUACUUGUUUGAGACUAAGAAACUACGAAAAUCCUGAAAAAUGGCAUACAAAUAAAUUUACCGAAUCUGGGUAAAAUGUGGUUAAAAAAAGGUGAAAAAAUGUCCCUUUCGCCAAUUAAAACUUCCAAUGUCGACGUAAUAUUUUCAUGUAAUAAAUAAAUUGAAAAAAAUAUAUGUAAAUCAAAUUUAAUCCUGAUUUAAAAGAAACACCAUUAUUUUGGGGCCAAAACUGUAUAAAAGAAUCGAGUCCUACUGCGUAGAGUAGGGCCCUGCCAACUCUGUGACAUUGAAAUCGCUAUUGAAAAUGCCUUUUGUGACGCCACUAAAACUUUUUUUUGUUUCUUUCAAGUGGGCUCAGGUUUGUUUUCCGACGGGAAUGACUUAUAAUUUGGUGUGGAAGGAUGUCCCAGCCGCGGCCAUCGCAAAAAGAUUCACCGUCAGAACGCGGUUUCGUGUCGGAGUACGAUGCCGCAUUGAAAGCGAUCAGGGUUUAUGGGGUUUACAGCAAUACCCUUUCCACCUAAAAUGUUAUUCUAUCGUCAACUAAAAAUACCAGUCACAAUUGCCAAAAUUCGCACUUAUUUAUGGGUCCCGAUUUGAAUGUCACCGCGAGCAUGGGCCGAGGCUUAAAGCCAACUUAUUUUUGUGCCUUAAGCGAAAAGGCCUUGUAAAUAGUCAUCAUAGAUGAUUUAUCAGUUUGUGAUAAUAAAUAUUUGUUGUUGUGUUCUUAGUUUCUCGUUUUAUUUUUAAGUUGAAUACGCAGUAACCGCUACAUACAUUUCUCUCCCCAAUUUUGCGACACACACUUAAGUUUUCACCCAAAAAAAAGUGGUAAAAGAGUUUUCCAAACAAGCGUUGAUAAGCGGUCAAUUUCUAUUUUGAUUACAGUAAUAAUUGGGUAAAAGUAAUACGUGUUAUUUAGAAGAAAACAAUCCAAUUGAUCGCCACUAUUUUAUAUCCUUUAUAUUCAUGUAUUCUAACAUUUGGGGACAAGAAUGUAUGAAGUGUGAAAUUAAUUAUUAUCAAAUUUCUUGCAAGUAAACAUCUAGUCCUGUUUCUUGGUUACUGGACUGCUGUGAGUCGAAAUAUAUAUUUUCAAAGGCGUAUAUAAUCGUAAAACUUGUUUGUUGAAAAUUUAUCACUUUGGCGUGGAGGUGUCCAUAUAUACCUGCAUAUGCGUGGGGCUAUGAUAUGUAUUGUUUUACCGAUUCAAAAGAUCAAUAUGGAUUUAAAAAAAAAUUAUGUACGAAUGUAAAAAAAAUAAAAAAUACACAAUAAUGCUACAGAUAUUAAUUUAAAUUACAAUAAUAAUUUCGAGAGUUAAUGAGAUGUCUGUGAAUUUACUAAAGUUAAAAAAAAAGGUACGAAUGUAAAAUAAUUAAAAAUAUACAAUAAUGUAACAGAUACUAAUGUUCAGUACGAUAAAGAUGUCAAAAGUA